Molecule: ribosomal RNA, 434 nt
Filed under: uncultured bacterium
Lineage: Bacteria
Description: partial 16S ribosomal RNA
Rfam family: Bacterial small subunit ribosomal RNA
Source: RNAcentral
AGCGAACGCUGGCGGCAGGCCUAACACAUGCAAGUCGAACGAACCUUUCGGGGUUAGUGGCGGACGGGUGAGUAACACGUGGGAACGUGCCUUUAGGUUCGGAAUAACUCAGGGAAACUUGUGCUAAUACCGAAUGUGCCCUUCGGGGGAAAGAUUUAUUGCCUUUAGAGCGGCCCGCGUCUGAUUAGCUAGUUGGUUGAGGUAAUGGCUCACCAAGGCGACGAUCAGUAGCUGGUCUGAGAGGAUGAUCAGCCACAUUGGGACUGAGACACGGCCCAAACUCCUACGGGAGGCAGCAGUGGGGAAUCUUGCGCAAUGGGCGAAAGCCUGACGCAGCCAGGCCGCGUGAAUGAUGAAGGUCUUAGGAUUGUAAAAUUCUUUCACCGGGGACGAUAAUGACGGUACCCGGAGAAGAAGCCCCGGCUAACUUCGUG